UGGGACGAAGCCAAAGAUUGGCCUUCGGCUGUUAACCGGAUGUGUGCUACAGAGCCGUCCCAU
Molecule: transfer RNA, 63 nt
Filed under: Hydroides norvegica
Lineage: Eukaryota; Metazoa; Annelida; Polychaeta; Sabellida; Serpulidae
Description: tRNA-Asn
Source: RNAcentral